UACGAAGGGGGCUAGCGUUGCUCGGAAUCACUGGGCGUAAAGAGCGUGUAGGCGGCCAGAUAAGUCCGCUGUGAAAUCUCGAGGCUCAACUUCGAGCUGUCGGUGGAAACUGUCUGGCUAGAGUCCGGAAGAGGAGAAUGGAAUUCCUGGUGUAGCGGUGAAAUGCGCAGAUAUCAGGAAGAACACCCGUGGCGAAGGCGGUUCUCUGGGACGGUACUGACGCUGAGACGCGAAAGCGUGGGGAGCGAACAGG
This 253-nucleotide ribosomal RNA is filed under the name uncultured bacterium. RNAcentral's name for it is "partial 16S ribosomal RNA". It matches the Rfam family "Bacterial small subunit ribosomal RNA", at positions 524 to 776 of the family's 1533-position model. The record is from RNAcentral.